UUAACAGUGCCUCCCACUGAACAUUAGAAAAGGAGGAACUGAGAUGCUGAUUGUGGGGAGGAAAUUUCCAAGGUUCCAGGUAUGCAAAGAAGUUGACAGAUAACAGCCAGAGAUAAAAAUCAUGGAGUGAAAAGAGACAAAGAUG
RNAcentral lists this long non-coding RNA (145 nucleotides) under Anas platyrhynchos platyrhynchos (common mallard). RNAcentral's name for it is "lncRNA (ENSAPLG00000028934.1)". The record is from RNAcentral. Lineage: Eukaryota; Metazoa; Chordata; Aves; Anseriformes; Anatidae.